AUUGAACGCUGGCGGCAUGCCUUACACAUGCAAGUCGAACGGCAGCACGGGUGCUUGCACCUGGUGGCGAGUGGCGAACGGGUGAGUAAUACAUCGGAACGUACCUUAUCGUGGGGGAUAACGCAGCGAAAGCUGUGCUAAAACCGCAUACGCCCUGAGGGGGAAAGCGGGGGAUCGAAAGACCUCGCGCGAUUAGAGCGGCCGAUGUCUGAUUAGCUUGUUGGUGGGGUAAAAGCCCACCAAGGCGACGAUCAGUAGCUGGUCUGAGAGGACGAUCAGCCACACUGGGACUGGGACACGGCCCAGACUCCUACGGGAGGCAGCAGUGGGGAAUUUUGGACAAUGGGGGCAACCCUGAUCCAGCAAUGCCGCGUGAGUGAAGAAGGCCUUCGGGUUGUAAAGCUCUUUUGUCAGGGAAGAAACACCGGCUCUAACACAGUCCGGGAAUGACGGUACCUGAAGAAUAAGCACCGGCUAACUACGUGCCAGCAGCCGCCGUAA
This 501-nucleotide ribosomal RNA is filed under the name uncultured bacterium. Its description in RNAcentral is "partial 16S ribosomal RNA". It matches the Rfam family "Bacterial small subunit ribosomal RNA", at positions 29 to 523 of the family's 1533-position model. The record is from RNAcentral.